RNAcentral lists this ribosomal RNA (372 nucleotides) under uncultured organism. Its description in RNAcentral is "bacterial SSU rRNA". It matches the Rfam family "Bacterial small subunit ribosomal RNA", at positions 526 to 896 of the family's 1533-position model. The record is from RNAcentral.
CGUAGGGUCCAAGCGUUAUCCGGAAUCACUGGGCGUAAAGCGUGCGUAGGUGGCGUGUUAAGUGAGAUGUUAAACCGUGUGGCUCAACCAUAUCGUUGCAUCUCAUACUGGCAUGCUAGAGGACAGCAGAGGCAAGUGGAAUUGGUAGUGUAGCAGUGAAAUGCGUAGAUAUUACCAGGAACACCAAUGGCGAAGGCAGCUUGCUGGGCUACUCCUGACACUGAGGUACGAAAGCGUGGGGAGCGAACAGGAUUAGAUACCCUGGUAGUCCACGCCGUAAACGAUGCAUACUAGACGUAUGGGGUAUCGACCCCCUGUGCGUCGCAGCUAACGCGGUAAGUAUGCCGCCUGGGAAGUACGGCCGCAAGGCUA